This 388-nucleotide ribosomal RNA is filed under the name uncultured bacterium. Its description in RNAcentral is "bacterial SSU rRNA". It matches the Rfam family "Bacterial small subunit ribosomal RNA", at positions 30 to 418 of the family's 1533-position model. The record is from RNAcentral.
AUUGAACGCUGGCGGAAUGCUUUACACAUGCAAGUCGAACGGCAGCACGGGGCAACCUGGUGGCGAGUGGCGAACGGGUGAGUAAUACAUCGGAACGUGCCCAAUCGUGGGGGAUAACGUAGCGAAAGUUACGCUAAUACCGCAUACGAUCUACGGAUGAAAGCGGGGGAUCGCAAGACCUCGCGCGAAUGGAGCGGCCGAUGUCAGAUUAGGUAGUUGGUGGGGUAAAAGGCUCACCAAGCCAACGAUCUGUAGCUGGUCUGAGAGGACGACCAGCCACACUGGAACUGAGACACGGUCCAGACUCCUACGGGAGGCAGCAGUGGGGAAUUUUGGGACAAUGGGCGCAAGCCUGAUCCAGCCAUUCCGCGUGCAGGAUGAAGGCCUC